RNAcentral lists this ribosomal RNA (253 nucleotides) under uncultured bacterium. Its description in RNAcentral is "partial 16S ribosomal RNA". It matches the Rfam family "Bacterial small subunit ribosomal RNA", at positions 524 to 776 of the family's 1533-position model. The record is from RNAcentral.
UACAGAGGUCCCAAGCGUUGUUCGGAUUCACUGGGCGUAAAGGGUGCGUAGGUGGUGAGGUAAGUCGGAUGUGAAAUCUCCAAGCUCAACUUGGAAACUGCAUUGGAAACUACCUUGCUAGAGGAUUUGAGGGGGGAUUGGAAUACUUGGUGUAGCAGUGAAAUGCGUAGAUAUCAGGAGGAACACCGAUUGCGAAGGCAGCUCGCUGGGACGUUACUGACGCUGAGACGCGAAAGCGUGGGGAGCAAACAGG